CCCUAAUCCCUAACUAUACGCCUCCUGAGUCCUGAGUCCUGACCUCCGCGCCUCAAAUCCUCAAUCUUCGGACAUUCUCAUCCUUCGCCGGCGACGAGCUAGGGGCACAGCAGAUCCAACGACGGCGACAAGCUUCAGCAGCGGCGGCGGUUUGACAGUCUCCUCCCAUAUCUUUGUCAGUUCUUCCCCUUCUCUGUUCUCCCAUCCCUUCGCUUCUGUCUCUGAGUGAAGACCAUCUGCCGGGCGACUACUUAGCGACGACGACUGGGGGAACAACAGAUCUGAAGACGACGACUGGGAGGGAACAACAGAUCUGGCGACGACGGUGAGCUUCAAAAGAGAAUUCCAAUCCUGAAUGUAACUUAUGUGUUGCUGUGCAUUUUUUCCCCUUCAAUUUACUCAGGCUGUGAAUUUCAUUGAAUAUGAUUCUUCGAAGCAAGCUAUUAUGGUGUUUAAAGCGAGUUGCAAGUUGAAAUUGGAAGACUAUAAACAAGCAGUGAAUCAAGCUAUUAUGGACUUAUGGAGUUGAAAGACUUAGAUUGUCUGUAUUAAUAUAUUCGAUACCGAUUUUAAUGGUGUAGUACUUGCAAUUGUUUGCAAUUAUAGGUUUACAGUAUGAGAUAUAUUGUAAUAAUUAGGUAUAUAUUAAUAGAAAUUUUUAUGCUGUUUAAAUUUAAA
Long non-coding RNA from Ipomoea triloba (trilobed morning glory), 678 nucleotides. RefSeq lists it as uncharacterized. The transcript has 2 exons. Lineage: Eukaryota; Viridiplantae; Streptophyta; Magnoliopsida; Solanales; Convolvulaceae. The record is from RefSeq and is a predicted model, not a curated record.